This 253-nucleotide ribosomal RNA is filed under the name uncultured bacterium. RNAcentral describes it as "partial 16S ribosomal RNA". It matches the Rfam family "Bacterial small subunit ribosomal RNA", at positions 524 to 776 of the family's 1533-position model. The record is from RNAcentral.
UACAUGGGGUGCAAACGUUGCUCGGAAUUAUUGGGCGUAAAGCGCGCGUAGGCGGUUACUCAAGUCGGAUGUGAAAGCCCUCGGCUUAACUGAGGAAGUGCACCCGAAACUGAGUAGCUAGAGUACUAAAGAGGGUCGCGGAAUUCCCGGUGUAGAGGUGAAAUUCGUAGAUAUCGGGAGGAACACCGGUGGCGAAGGCGGCGACCUGGGUCGACACUGACGCUGAGGCGCGAAAGCGUGGGGAGCAAACAGG